RNA transcript from Penaeus vannamei (Pacific white shrimp), 1365 nucleotides. It is a transcript of the gene named protein ripply1, with no coding region annotated. Lineage: Eukaryota; Metazoa; Arthropoda; Malacostraca; Decapoda; Penaeidae. The record is from RefSeq and is a predicted model, not a curated record.
UGCAUAAACAGUAGAGUGUACGCCGGUAGGUGCGACGCCACACGUCUCUGUUGUUCUAACAAACGCUUUCGGAAAUUAUACGUAAAAAAAAAAAUACAAAAAAGGGGAAACCAUUAUGGCCAGAUGAAGACACUCGUAGGCUAAGAGGCCACUGGCAACUGUGGUAUGACGUGAACGCCCUAGCUACUGAAAUGUGAUUAAGAGCAGAUGGAAAAUAUCUUAAGUGACUUGUACCACACAAGGCGAGCGGGACGAUUAACUGCAUUGUAAAAAAAAAGCAAGCGACAAGCCUCGUGCUCCGCGCCACGCCCGCAUGACGUACCUCAAGAAGUCCUGGAUGGAUUCACUCGAGACCAAACUCUAAUCUUAAUCAAUUCUGAUUCCCACCGACAGCCAAGUUCCGCCCACCUAGGGGCAAAGAGGCGACCCCGCCCUACCUCCGCAGUGCAUGUUGCAGCGGCAGCGAGGGCUUCCAGGACCCCGCCUUUAGGCCUGGACCGCAGCCGGCCGCCCGACCAUGAGCCGCUUCCGCAUUAAGGCCAACGGCGUCCCUACGACUAUGCUUCGCCGCAUCGUGUUGAUAACCGCGGUGGGCAUCCUGUUCGUCGUGGUCUUCUUCGGCUACUCCUUCCUCAAUGACAACUUCCACCCCGCCUCCCUGGGCAGGUACAAGCACCACCCGCGCCAGAAGGUGCACCACGCCGCCGUCAACGUAAAGAACAGCAACAUCGUCCCCGACCAAGCAAAAUUUCACAUGGGAAACAUCUACAUUGACAGCAUUCAUCAUGACGACGAGGACUACUAUGAGGAGUACGACGAGGACUAUGAGGAGGAUGAAGAUGAUGAAGAGGAAGAUGAUGACGAGGACGAUGAUGAUGACGAUGAUGAUGACGACGACGAUGAUGAUGAUGAUGAUGAUGAUGAUGACUAUUACGGUGAGGAUUAUGAUAGACAUGCGUUGAGAUAGUGGGCCAUCUGCAUACAAAAACGAAAAUCGAUUAUCAUGUGUCCGAGAUGUCAAGCGAUACUGGCGAAACCUAGGUAAACAAGGCGCCAGGUAGUAAGCUUCCUUCCCACACCUCUUAUAAACUGGAGAAUCUACAGACACGGUUCUCUACCUGAGUGAUAUAGGUCUUAAGAGCAGCAGUAUAAGUCUGAAACAUAGUUAUCUGCAAUUCUGCGCGCGCGCGCGCGUGUGUGUUUAAGUGCGUGUGAAUGUGUGCGUAAUUCUCCCCUCCAAGCAAGGUUUUCGCUAACAUCUGUAUACUGAUGUGUGUUCUUUUAUGUGAUGUAUAUUUUUUAUUUAAUUCACGUGUGGACAUGUGACAGAUAAAAUGUUAAUGAAUAAAGAAUAAGUUGAUAAAU